GAUGAACGCUGGCGGCGUGCUUAACACAUGCAAGUCGAACGAACUGUUCUAGAGGAAGUUUUCGGAUGGAAUCUAGGAUAGUUAGUGGCGGACGGGUGAGUAACGCGUGGGAAACCUGCCCUAUACAGGGGGAUAGCCUCGGGAAACCGGGAUUAAUACCCCAUGAAACUUGAGUCUCGCAUGAGACAUAAGUCAAAGAUUUAUCGGUAUAGGAUGGUCCCGCGUCUGAUUAGCUAGUUGGUGAGGUAACGGCUCACCAAGGCGACGAUCAGUAGCCGGCCUGAGAGGGUGAACGGCCACACUGGAACUGAGACACGGUCCAGACUCCUACGGGAGGCAGCAGUGGGGAAUAUUGGACAAUGGGGGCAACCCUGAUCCAGCCAUGCCGCGUGAGUGAAGAAGGCCU
This 406-nucleotide ribosomal RNA is filed under the name uncultured bacterium. RNAcentral describes it as "bacterial SSU rRNA". It matches the Rfam family "Bacterial small subunit ribosomal RNA", at positions 28 to 417 of the family's 1533-position model. The record is from RNAcentral.